This 490-nucleotide small RNA is filed under the name Drosophila willistoni. RNAcentral describes it as "GK28043". The record is from RNAcentral. Lineage: Eukaryota; Metazoa; Arthropoda; Insecta; Diptera; Drosophilidae.
AAUCUCUCUGUGUGAAAAAGUCUAGUUGCCGCUUCGAAAAUAUUGAAUUAUUCGCAUAAAAUAGCAAUACCGACUGGAUUAACUAAACGCAAAGGAUCAAUAAAGAGUGCUGCGCGUUUGUGUCGUCCAUGUGAUGCCAAAUACCCAAUAGAUAACAGAAGAAACCAACUAAACCCCAGGCUAGAAGGUGAAAGAGCAGCAAAUGAAACAAUAACAAAAUAACAAUUGAUGUGCCAUUCAUUCUGAGAGAAAAAAAGAGAGAGAGAGAGACAACAUUAAAGCUAAGCGUGAGAAGAGACAAAAAGAGAGAGUAUUAUCAGCAGCAUUGCAAAUGUCAGGAAUCCCUCCAUGAAAUCAACAGAAUACAGAAACAAAAGUCAGCUACCAAAAAAAAACAAAAGAAACACCUGUAAACCAACAUCGUCAUCAAGUGCAGGUGCCACAGUGUAUAUACAAGUGUGAACGAAUUUAAGAACAAAAAACCGUCAAA